CUUGUCAGUGUACUCGAUUUCCGAGGCUUCCCUCAGUUCUACAGUGAAUUUUCGGCGGACGGUUAUGGCAUCGAACUCCAAGGGGAAGGCAUUGGUGAGGCCGGAGGGCGCCGGAGAUAAGGCUGGGGUUCACGCUUCCAGCAAGAAGUCGGCAGCGGAGGCGGCAGCGGCGUCGAUCCCUGUGAGUAAGGUUAAGUGUGAGUAUGAUUGUUCCGAUACUAGGUUUUUAAUUGAGAACUCCUCGAAUUUCAAGCGAAGUGGUCCGCCGGUUCGCUUGAUGGGCUACGUGGAUGAAUCGUGGGAUGAUUUUCCCUUCCAAGUGGUGAAUUCAGUACGGAAGGGGUUCGUGGAGGGGAUGCCGGUCGUGGAGGUCGGAAUUGGGGGGGUUCGGUACUUGUUUGAUUUGUAUCGCAUGUUGCAUGUUGAUUUGGAGAGUGGGAGUUGGAGGUCGAUCGCUUGGAUUGAUGUUCACGGCAAAUGUUUCUUCCCGAAAACCUUUGUCGGUGCCCCCGAAGGGGUUAGAAAUGUUACCGGUGAACGGAGGAUUGAGGUCGUGGGUGUUUCCAAAAGUCCCGAUGUUGAGAUUUUGAAUGUUAAUGCUGCCAAUGACUUGGCUAAUUCUGAGAUUCUCAAGAUUGAGAUUGGGAUUAAAAUCGCAGAUAACUGGGAUUUCUCUAAGAAGAAGAGAGUGUGUGUGGAGAUAGGGCCUGAAGAGGAUGAAAAACUGAUAACCGAAGGUCACUCCGUGAAUGAAAACUUCCUUGGAGUGAAGAGGUUGCGAAUUGCUACGAACGACGUGGAAGUAGAAUCGCCGAAGUGGCCAAAGGCGAAGAAGCUUGUAGAAGGGGCGAGAGCUUAUAAUCGUGUGAGGAACUUGUUUCUUUCUGGGAUAGGGGAUUUUGAACCCUUCAUUACGAUCACUGCAAUUCAUCAGUGGCUCACGGGUCCGGCAGAGUGUGCCCGAUGUAAAGUUUUCUAUAAGCAGACGGAGAUCACUAAGGCUUCCAGGGGGGACGCCAAACUCUCAUACGCUUGGUACGGGACAUCGGCCAAGGGUGUGGAGAACGUUUUAAGUCACGGAUUUGGGAUGCCCAGUAGGGUUCCUGCUUCUGAAAUUCAUGGAAUUGGAAUCUACUUGUCUGCGCUGUCCUUCCCUCUUUUUAGUGGUAGGUUAUCAGAGGAUGACAACGGCGAGAAGCAUGUUAUCUUGUGCGAAGUUAUAUUGGGCAAAUGUGAGAAAGUUCAAGCUGGUUCCUCUCAGCUAUAUCCUUCCAGUAAAGACUUUGAUACUGGUGUGGAUGAUCUUAAGAAUCCCAAGUGGUAUGUGGUGUGGUGUGCUAACAUGAAUACUCACAUUGUUCCCUAUUGUGUUGUGAGUUACAGGUCUUUUUUUUCUCAGCCAGGUUUUCUUGCAGAGCUAGUCUUCAAGUUGGGGGCUUCUCUUUCUUCUGAGAGAAUGCAGGAAGUUCAAAAUUUAUGCAGUGCAUACAAGGAUGGGAAAGUGACUGAAGAGACUUUUGUGGCACAGCUGCAGUCAGUUGUUGGGAAACAAAUGCUGGUUUCAGCAAUUCGAGGGAUUUCAGGCUGAAAACAAGUUGCAAGUAAAAGUGGUUGCUUCUGCAGCUUUGGGAGUGUGGUGACUGGGGAGUGUCUAUACACAGGCACCCAAUUUUUAGCUCAGAAAUGGAAGCUUUUGACGUUGAUGUAUACUGUUGAAGUUGUUUUCUACGGUAUGGUUGCAAGGUAAUGUUAAAAUUGCUUCUGCUUUAUGUUGAGUUUCAGAUCUCUUUCUUAUUACAAUAUGUGUAAUGUACACCAUUGCUAAGGUGUACUUUUUCCAGGACUGAGCAUUAGCAUUUGUGUACAAUAUGAUCUUCUAUUGGACUUGGCGGCUUCUUGUUAUUCAGACUAGGAAGGUUAUUUUGGAUGUUGCUGCAUUUUUGUGUAGCUUCCCUUCAUCUAAUCUUGAAAACUUGGAACCACCAGAAUGCCCGGAUAGUGCUCUCUCUCUCUCUCUGAGACAGCAGUCAGCAACCUUGGCAAAUGUCAGUUCAUUUGUGCAUGAUUGAUCUUUCCUAUGGAGAAGAAAUCACCACAAAGUAGUGACAUCAAUGGAGGCAUCUAUGGUUCCAGAUAUGAAAUGAUCUGCAUGGUGGAACAGCAGCAAUGGUUCAGCAGAGACGGCCAUGACAAUGGUAAGCCCCCUUUCCUCUCCCCCUCUCUCUCUCUCAGUGUUCUAGGUUUUAUGGAACCCAAAUUUAUCUGGGCAUAGUCAAACCCAAAUUUGGGUUGGAUUUGGUUUCUGAUGACGAUGGUAACCACCCCCCCCCCCCCCUCUCUCUCUCUCUCUCUCUCUCUCUCACUGUGUUCUAGGUUUUAUGGAACACAAAUUCAUCUAGGUUUCAUUGGUGGGGUGGUGUUUUUGGAAAAAAACCACCGAAAACCGAUCAUCCCCCCCCCCCCCCAAUCUCUCUCUCUCUCUCUCUCUCUCUCUCUCUCUCUCAUUGUGUUUUGGGUUCCGUAGAACUCAAAUCGAACCCUCAAUCUAGGUUUGAACGAACCCAAAUUUGGGUUCAAUUUGUUUUUUGGUGGGGUUUCAUUGGAAACCCCAUUGGUGGGAUGGUAUUUCUGGAAAAAACCCCACCAGAAACUCUCUCUCUCUCUUCUUUGAAUCCAGAUUUAGGUUCAUUACAUGCUGGCGAUGAACCUAGAUGGAUUCAUUACACCAGCACAGAACCCACUGGGUUCAUCUUUGAUGAUGAUCCCAGUGGGUUCCAUGCUGGCAUGGGUUCAUCUUUUAUUUAUUCUUUUAUUUAUUUUAUUUUGUAUUUUUCAAUCAGAGGAGAAAGGAUGAAGGGUAAAUUUGUCAUUUUACCCUUGGUUACAGUAUUUCUCAAACGGGGGGGGGUUGCAAUUUACCAGCUAAAAAUUUAACUCGGACCAAAAUUUUUUCCACAGCACAAAACAACAGAAUGCCAUGCAGCUAGCACUAGGAGCAUAACUGCUAGUGCAGUUAAAAAUCACUGAAGAAAACCACAUUGAUGGUUUAUGCCUUAGCCACUAAAGCAUAAAUUGCCCAUGCGGUUUAUGCAUUAUAUCAUAAACCCCACUUUGGUGGUUUCCUCAGUGCUUUUUAAACCUUAAUAGCAAUCCUUUCACUGCGAACUGGAUGAUAUUUUCCUAUUUUGUUCAGCAAUAGAGAUUAGUGAUGUGACCGAGUUCUGUUUGGGACUAACUUGUUUUAGCUAACAAAUUUUUUGCAGCUAGGUCUAAAUUUCGAAAAAACAGUUUCUGUCAUCCAACUCAUAUGUUUAAGUUGCUAGGUUUAUCUGCCUAUCCUUAUUUGAAUCAAUCUAUGUAAGAUUUAUGCCACAUUUUCUUGCUCGAAUUCAUGCUGCCCUUGAAGUAAAUUCGCCAUCUUUCCUCCUCUUAUUCAAGUGCUUGGCCUAAAAUCAGACAAAAUUUUGGUCAACCUACUACCGCUUAUAUGGAUAUGGGAUAUUAUGAUACAUAUUCACGAUGUCAUUGAAAAGGUUUAAUAUCUAUAGAGAUGAACUCCGCCUGGGGAUGUUAUCCACUGCCGGUCCCAAGCCCGGAUAAAGGAGGAGGGUUGUGUUAGGUAGUCGACAGCCAACGUAAAACUUAGUCGGAUCCAAAACAUGAACUCUAGACAAAUUAUGAAAAAACGUUUGGGCGUGGGCGUAAUCCUUCAUAGCGACGCGCUACACUGCCUGCGUGUAGUGUCAAAUGAGCUAGGGCCGCUGCAUUGGUGCCCGGAUGUAGUGACAAAUGAGCAAGGGUUCCCGCAUUUGCUUGGACGGAUGUAGGUAAAGAAGUUAGUCCAAUAUCAAAAUCAAAAUCAAAAUCAAAACCAAAACCAAAAACAAAAACAAAAUCAAAACCAAAACCAAAACCAAAAACAAAAUCAAAAACAAAAUCAAAUUCAAAGUCAAAGCCAAAAAGAAAAUCAUAGAUUAAGGAUUGGAUCAUGAAACAUAGGAACAUUAACAGGCAAAGCUAUGGAAGUGGUAGAUGUGAUGAUUAGGAGAAAGAUUAAUAUUAUGUGCCUUCAAGAGAUGAGAUGGGUAGGAAAAAAAGCAAAAACUUUGUCAGAAAAUGGAUAUAAAAUAUGGUACACAGGAACUGAUCGAGCAAAAAAUGGAGUGAGGAUCAUUAUGGAUAAAAGCUUAGUAGAUGAGGUAGUGGAUGUAAAGAGAAUAGGGGAUAGGAUUAUUAUGGUGAAGGUUAUUCUAGGAAGAAUGACUAUGAAUAUCUUUAGUACAUAUGCACCACAAGCGGGGUUAGGUGAGGAGAUAAAAGCAAAAUUCUGGGAGGACCUAGAGGGACUCAUACAAAUUAUACCAAGAGGAGAGAAAGUGAUUAUAGGAGGUGACUUAAAUGGUCACGUGGGUAGAGACGGAAACGGCUAUAGAGAGGUACAUGGAGGGUAUAGAGGGUAAGUCUAUUCUAGAUUUUGCAAUGGCAUAUGGGCUCAUCAUAACCAAUACUAGGUUCAAAAAACGGGACGAACACUUAAUCACAUAUAAAAAUGUCACAUCAAGCACCCAAAUAGAUUACUUCCUCAUGAGACAAGAGGAUCGGGUAUGUUGUAAGGAUUGUAAGGUGAUACCGGGAGAGUGUUUAACUACUCAAUAUAGACUUCUAGUACUUGACGUCCAAGUAAGAAAUUGGAAGAGAAAAAAUCACAUAAAACAAAAUUCAAGAAUCAUGUGGUGAGAUUUAAAAAGGGAGAAACAACUAAUAUUCAAAGAAAAAUUAAGGGGUAGAAGAGAAUGGAAUGGAGAAGGACAGACAAACCAAAUGUGGAGAGAAAUGGCUAAUGCCUUGAGAAACACAGCAAAGAUAGUGCUUGGAGAGACAAAUGGUAGAGCCCCUAACCUUAAGGAGUCUUGGUGGUGGAAUGAAGAAGUGCAAUUGAAAAUUAAAAAUAAGAAAAUUUGCUAUAAGGCUAUAUAUUAGUGCAACAAUGAAAAAAAUCAAAAAAAUUAUAAAGAAUAAAAAAAGGCAGCAAAAAAAGCUGUUAGUGAAGCAAGGUUAAAAGCAUACAAGAAUCUAUAUAAACGACUUGGUACAAAAGAUGGAGAAAGGGAUAUAUAUAAAUUAGGUAAAGCAAGAAAAAGAAAAACAAGAGAUUUAAAUCAAGUGAAAUGCAUAAAAGAUGAAAAUCAAAAUGUAUUAGUGAAUGAGGGAGCGAUUAAGGAGAGAUGGAAGGAGUAUUUCACAAAAUUACUCAAUGAUGAUGGCAACACAAGAGUUAGGUUGGGACAUCUUAUUAACUCUGAAGGGAACGUGAGCUAUACAUUUUAUCGACGCAUAAGUCCAAAUGAAAUAAGGCAAGCAUUAAAAAAGAUGAAAAAUCAUAAGGCAGUGGGACCGGAUAAUAUAUCAAUAGAAGUAUGGAAAUGCAUGAGAGAAUAGGGUAUCUCCUGGCUAACGAAAUUAUUUAACGCGAUUCUUAAAUUAAAAAAGAUGCUAGAUUAGUAGAGGAAGAGUACUUUGGUCCCUAUAUAUAAAAACAAAGGAGAUGUUCAAAACUGUGAAAAUUACAGAGAAAUUAAGUUAAUGAGCCAUACCAUGAAACUCUGGAAGAGAGUAAUAGAGCAGAGGCUCAGAAAAGAAAUAGAGGUCUCAGAAAAUCAGUUUGGUUUCAUGCCCGAUAGGUCAACAAUGGAAGCUUUAUACCUACUGAGGCGCCUAAUGGAAAGGUAUCGGGAUCAUCAGAAGGACCUACAUGUGGUGUUUAUAGAUCUAGAAAAUGCCUAUGAUAUGGUCCCUAGAGAAGUAUUAUGAAGGGUUUUAGAGAAGAAAGGAGUCUGAAUAGCCUAUAUACAAGCCCUUGAGGACAUGUAUCAUGGUGCAGAGACAAGGGUCAAAACAUGCGGAAGGGAUACUGAACCGUUUAAAAUUACAAUAGGAUUGCAUCAAGGUUCUGCACUGUACAUACUUAUUUGCUUUAGUAAUGGAUGAACUCACUAAAGAUAUUCAAACAGAGGUGCCAUGCUGUAUGCUAUUUGCAGACGACAUAGUGUUGGUAGAUGAAACAAAAGAAGGAGUGAACACUAAGGUUGAGUUAUGGAGAAACAAUUUAGAAUCUAAGGGAUUUAAAUUAAGCAGAAAGAAAACAGAAUAUAUGGAAUGUAAAUUUAGUAAGAAUGCAAGAGUGGAGGAUGUUAUAAUAAAAUUGGGAGACCAAAUCUUACAAAGAAAAGACCAUUUUCGAUAUUUGGGAUCAGUGAUUCAAAAAGAUGGAGGAAUUCACGAGGAUGUCACACAUAGAAUUAAGGCAGGUUGGCUAAAAUGGAGAAAUGCAUCGGGGGUGUUAUGUGAUGGUAAAAUCCCAUUAAAAUUGAAAGGAAAAUUCUGUAGGACAGCUAUAAGACCAGUUUUGUUGUACGGCUCAGAAUGUUGGGCAGUCAAAUACUAACAUGAGCAAAAGACGAGUGUAGCGGAAAUGAGGAUGUUAAGAUGGAUGUGCGGCCAUACAAGAAAAGAUAAAAUUAGAAAUGAAGUUAUUCGUAAUAAGAUAGGAGUAGUGCCAAUAGAGGAGAAGAUGAGAGAGACUAGACUAAGAUGGUUUGGUCAUAUGAGAAGGAGACCAAGAGACGCUCCUGUGAGGAGAGUUGAUGAAAUAGAACAAUUAAUCAAAAAAAGAGGUAGAGGCAGACCUAAGAAGACUUUGAGGGAGAUAUUAAAGUUUGAUAUGAAGUGUAUGAAUCUCAAUGAAGAUAUGACAAAAGAUAGAAAUAUAUGGAAGUUUAGAAUUCAUGUAGCCGACCCCACAUAGUGGGAUAAAGGCUGAAUAUGUUGUUGUUUAUCUAUAGAGAUGGACGGGGGGAAAUCACGUGUCCCUAUUAGUUUAUCUUUGUUGAUGGGAAUAAGAGAGAUUUAAGGUUAGUUACUACUUCAUCAAUUUUGGUAUUUGUGAGCAAGUGAUUUUUGAAGGUGACCCUUGCCGACGGUAACGUAGGAGUAAGGGUACAUACAAAUUGACCUUAACUAAAGCCCUUAGUGCUGGAACCUUGUGCACCAGGUUCACCAUUGUGAGCUGGUGGUUUUGUAAUGCAAGCUAGAGCAAGGUGAAAUUGUAUCUAGAAAGUGGUGUUUCGCAGGUCGGAUUGGAUCUUCUUACCUUUACCGCAGGUUGGGAAGGUAAAGACCCUCGUAAGAAACUUCAUCCUUUGAUGGUUUUUUUUUUUUUUGAAUCAAUAAUAUUAUAUUGGUCGGAAAUUUUUGUUGGUUUCUUAGAAUCAUAUCAGAGUGGUUACAACGACGUCUAUGACUGAAAAUUUCGUUGUUGAUUCUUGAAAUUAUAGAACAGCAGGAAAGAAUACGAGCUUGGUUAUGGAGGAAGCUAUACAACAGGUAAGGAAUGUGGGUAUUUAAAUCUGAGAUUGAACUUACUAACCUUACUUGGGGGAACUAGGUAGCAAGGCUUGUAAGUAAUAAUUGUUGCAAUUGUUAUUGUUAUUGUUUGGGAAUUGGGGGGGGGGGGGGGGGGGGGGGUUGCCCCCUUUGGUUAUUAUGCCUAAUAUUAUCUCACAGUGGUAGUGAUAACUAGCCUUUUGAGGAGAAGUACAGGCACUCUUCACUUCCAGACUUCAUUUAUUAUAGCACGUGAAGAAAGAGCAGAGCAGAAAAUUCCAAGGGGAGUCGUUUUCUUAUGGUUUUGAGAAGCACUCUUCACUUCAGUCCUCCUAUAAUCCUAUUACCUUUCUUUUUGUUCUUAGUUUUCGUUCUUAAUCUAUUAGACAUUAGCAUGUAUUGUAUAGUUAAAAAGAGUGAAUUGGAGGAGUUUUUUUUUUUUUUUUUUUAAGUGCAUCACCCUCAUUUUAACUCUCUUUUUUAAUAAAUUAUAUUUCUUCUUAUUUUUACACCAUAUAUAUUAUGUCUCUCUUUUAAUGUUUUCUUUUCUUUUUAAAUAUGGAUAUUCACUCAAAAUUAGGCGAUGAAUGCGCAUCACAUCACUAUAUCUAUAUAUGUAAUGUACCCGUAAAGGCGGAGAUUGUAAUUUGCAUUGAAGAAGUUUGCCUUUAGCUUCCAGCUUUUUCGUUCGCUCCAAGAGGAGGCACUCAUGAUGGAUUGGAGGGCCCCCCUCUCCCCCAAAGUCACCACCACAUAUCAUACAUAGAUGAACCCUAAAAUAACACAUGAAUUUUGUAUGCUUGUUAGGUAACUUUCAUGUAUAACGUUUUGGGCCCGCCCCACACCGACAAAAGCGAGGGUAGGGUUGCGAAAUUGACCUUUUAUAAUGGUAUGAAGUUACGCCAAUCUAAGCUAUUUUGUAAUGACCCAACAUUUAUUCCUCACUAUAAAAUAUUGAUUCUUUUUAAUGCAUGUGAUAUAAGAAGGAAAACCUCAUAAUCAAUUGCAAACUUAGCUCAGUAAUUUUAACAAUAUUUCUAGGAGACUAUAUAUUGUGUAUGUACUUUUUCUUUUUUUUCUUCUUUUAUAAAGUAAAUUAUACUU
This is an RNA transcript of Diospyros lotus (date-plum), 8487 nucleotides long. It is a transcript of the gene named probable inactive poly [ADP-ribose] polymerase SRO1, with no coding region annotated. The transcript is spliced from 8 exons. Lineage: Eukaryota; Viridiplantae; Streptophyta; Magnoliopsida; Ericales; Ebenaceae. The record is from RefSeq and is a predicted model, not a curated record.